AUGCAAGUCGAACGGAGUAAUGGCUCGGUUAUUACUAGUGGCGAACGGGUGAGUAACACGUGAAUAAUCUGCCCUGUACGAUGGGAUAACAGCUGGAAACGGCUGCUAAUACCGUAUAUGACCACGCCGAGGCAUCUCGGAGGGGUGAAAGCGCUUAAGCGGUACAGGAUGAGUUCGCGUCCAAUUAGCUAGUUGGUGAGGUAACGGCCCACCAAGGCGACGAUUGGUAGCCGACCUGAGAGGGUGAUCGGCCACACUGGAACUGAGACACGGUCCAGACUCCUACGGGAGGCAGCAGUGGGGAAUAUUGGGCAAUGGAGGAAACUCUUACCCAAGCAAUGCCGCGUGAGUGAUGAAGGUCUUCGGAUUGUAAAGCUCUUUGAUUGGGGACGAAUAAAUGACGGUACCCAAGGAACAAGCCCCGGCUAACUAUGUGCCAGCAGCAGC
This 447-nucleotide ribosomal RNA is filed under the name uncultured bacterium. RNAcentral's name for it is "bacterial SSU rRNA". It matches the Rfam family "Bacterial small subunit ribosomal RNA", at positions 55 to 518 of the family's 1533-position model. The record is from RNAcentral.